CUACGGGAGGCAGCAGUGGGGAAUUUUGGACAAUGGGGGCAACCCUGAUCCAGCCAUGCCGCGUGAGUGAUGAAGGCCUUCGGGUUGUAAAGCUCUUUUAGCGGGGAAGAUGAUGACGGUACCCGCAGAAUAAGCCCCGGCUAACUUCGUGCCAGCAGCCGCGGUAAGACGAAGGGGGCUAGCGUUGUUCGGAAUUACUGGGCGUAAAGGGCGCGCAGGCGGCUCUGCAAGUCAGGCGUUAAAGACCCAGGCUCAACCUGGGGAAUGCGCUUGAUACUGCAGAGCUUGAGAUCGGAAGAGGAGAGUGGAAUUCCCAGUGUAGAGGUGAAAUUCGUAGAUAUUGGGAAGAACACCAGUGGCGAAGGCGGCUCUCUGGUCCGAUUCUGACGCUGAGGCGCGAAAGCGUGGGUAGCAAACAGGAUUAGAUACCCCAGUAGUCC
RNAcentral lists this ribosomal RNA (440 nucleotides) under uncultured bacterium. RNAcentral's name for it is "bacterial SSU rRNA". It matches the Rfam family "Bacterial small subunit ribosomal RNA", at positions 339 to 796 of the family's 1533-position model. The record is from RNAcentral.